GUGGGGAAUAUUGGACAAUGGGGGGAACCCUGAUCCAGCCAUGCCGCGUGUGUGAAGAAGGCCUUUUGGUUGUAAAGCACUUUAAGCGAGGAGGAGGCUACCGAGAUUAAUACUCUUGGAUAGUGGACGUUACUCGCAGAAUAAGCACCGGCUAACUCUGUGCCAGCAGCCGCGGUAAUACAGAGGGUGCGAGCGUUAAUCGGAUUUACUGGGCGUAAAGCGUGCGUAGGCGGCUUUUUAAGUCGGAUGUGAAAUCCCCGAGCUUAACUUGGGAAUUGCAUUCGAUACUGGGAAGCUAGAGUAUGGGAGAGGAUGGUAGAAUUCCAGGUGUAGCGGUGAAAUGCGUAGAGAUCUGGAGGAAUACCGAUGGCGAAGGCAGCCAUCUGGCCUAAUACUGACGCUGAGGUACGAAAGCAUGGGGAGCAAACAGGAUUAGAUACACGUGUAGUCC
Molecule: ribosomal RNA, 451 nt
Filed under: uncultured bacterium
Lineage: Bacteria
Description: partial 16S ribosomal RNA
Rfam family: Bacterial small subunit ribosomal RNA
Source: RNAcentral